UUGAAACACCGGUUCCCAUAUGAUCACCGAAGUUAAGCAAUGUCAAGUUUGAAUAGUACUUAGAUGGGGGACUACUUGGGAAUACCAGGUGCUGUAAG
Molecule: non-coding RNA, 98 nt
Organism: Acanthosepion pharaonis
Lineage: Eukaryota; Metazoa; Mollusca; Cephalopoda; Sepiida; Sepiidae
Source: the annotation of a GenBank genome assembly